AGCUCACGCCGGGAUGGCCGUGUGAGCCCCGACGCCCCGCUCGCGGGGGUGGGAGGCGGCCGCCCGCAGCAGGGCGCCCGGGAGGGGCCGUCCUGGGGGCUGCUGACCGACUGACUUCAGGGUCAGCUGCACCCAUGGGUGGACUUAGAACUGAUAACUUCUCAUGCUGAGCUCGCUGGCCCAUGAAGAGCAGAGCCAGCCCCGAAAUGCGUUGGCGAUCACCCUCCUGCCAUAGCUCCUGGCUUGUCUCCAGGAAGGUCUGCAUCAGGAGGCGUACCAACCCAGAUGUCCCUUCACUGCUCACCCAGUGCUCACUGCGCCCCGCCCACAUGCUCCCUGGGGGCCGUGUGAGGCCCUGGGACCUGGGCCGCGCCCUCAGCUCCAGGACGGUGCCCCGCCUGCCGGCAGGAGUCUGCCUUCCGGGUGGUGAGUUCCAGCCCUGACUCUGCCCCCGACCAGGUGACUUUCUCUGAGCCCUAAAGGGGGGGGCCUUCAUCCUCUGCCUUCUAAGACUGGGGUGCAAAUUAAGGAGGGAAUGCUGGCAACAUGCUCGCUUUAUGCCUGGCACAGAGUUGGAUACUUAUUAGCUAUUAUUUAUUAUUAUUAUUUAUUAUUAUCAUCAUUAAUCGCUGGUAUGGUUAAGACAGCAUUUAAAGGUCAUUUAGAGAGCAGGAUGUUAGAAUUCAACAGAGUUGUUACAGGAACUCAGAAAUCUUCUUGGAGAAACUCACCUACCAGCUGCCCCAAAAAGCAGAUUUUAGAUUACCCUCUAAUUGGCUAUCAAGAAACCGGGGAUGACAGGUUGGGCUGGCGGGGCGUCCUGGGGACACAGAUCCCUCCACACCUUUCCUGGUUCCCGGAUUGCCUCGUCCUCCUGUUCGCUGGCUGCGCGGCCGGGAGAAGGAUGAGCAGGUGAGGACAGGGUGGGAGAGAGGAUGGGAGGAGUGAGCUGGACAGAGUGGGCAGGACCUGGGAAACCGAAAGCCAUGAUUUCUGAUUCCAGGCUGCUUCCUCCUCUUCCAGACGAAACACAGAGGCAGGAUCUUUUCAAACCCUUUCUGCGUUUGAGUUUUUAAAAUCUCAGAUGAUGCACCGAAGUGAGUCACUGGUUCCAGAGGGACAUACCGGCACUUGGACAACACUGGAACAGUGGAAACUGCAGUGGGUUCCAGCCUGCAGACCUGGUGUGGCCCCUGCUAGCUGUGUGACCCUGAGGCGGUGGCUGAACCUCUCUGGGCCUCAGUUUCCUCAUUUCUCAAACGGUGUGGUAAUGAGGGUGAAAUUGAAAGGGUCAUCGCUGGCACUGAGAAGUCCUUCUAAAUGGCUUGCUGAAGUCUGACUGUGGAUGCAUGUGGUCCAGGAAGAGGAAAAGGGGAGGAGAGAGUUAGCAAUAGCCAUCACUGAGAAUGUGUUUCAGUGUUCACCCCGGUCCCGCUUGUCUGUUCUCACGACUUGCUUUAUACAUGUUCAUUACCUUAUCAGUAACCCUCUAUGGUUUUCAUUUUUAUGAUUCCCAUCUACACCUGGGCAAAAGCAGACUCAGGAAAGAAGCUGCCUUGACCAGGGUGGUACAGCUGGAAGGUGGAAGAGCCGGGACCCGGAAGAAGCCCUGAUCCCAAAGCCUGUGCUCUUCUCUGCAGCUCUGCAUCCUCUGUCUGUCAGGGCAGCGCCGGCCCCGGCCCCGGAGAGCAGCCCCCUCCAGGACCUGCAAGGCUGUUUCUGCAGCGAGGGCCCUCCGUCUCCUCACCAUGGGUCUGCGCGGAUCUGACAGCUACUGCAAAAAAGGCAUCAGAGUCGUCCUGAGAGCCUGGGGCCCGAGUGGACCACUGGGCCACCAGACUCAUCCUUUCUGGACUAGAGCCCUUCUUCCUCACACGGGUGAUGAGCAGCUCCUGAUUGUUCCGCUCUCAGUGACGGUUCUACAAUCUCCAGGCUACAGAGAGCCCCCAACCCGAGGUCAUGCUGCUCCACGGGGCCUGCGGGCAGCUGGUCACUGGUUUACAGGGACACCACGACCUGACCUACGUGGACAGCUGCAAGGACAAAGGAUUCUGCCACCAAGAAGUCUACAACCACCAACCACAUCCCCUCCCCUUUUUAGUAUAAAAAGAGCCUGAAUUCUGACUUGGGGAAGAUGGCUCUUCAGGACAUGAGUCCCCCAUCUUCUCGGUCUGCUGGCUUUCUGAAUACAGUCACCAUCUCUUGCCCUAACACCUCAUCUCCCGAAUUUUGGCCUGUCCUGCAGGGAGCAGAACCGUUGGACAUGGUGACGUGUGUGUCUAAUCUAUGUGUAUAAAUGUGCUCUGUCUCCUUUGUGAGAGUAGUUAUAUAAGUGCCCACGUCUGUACAUCUGUGUCUCUACUUGAAUACAUGCACACACCUUCUGCUUUCCCUCCUCAGACGGUAGCACUCCGCUCAUGCUGUUCUGUGUUUUACUUCAUUCACUUAACCAUACGUCCUGGAGAUCAGUCCUUACCCCUUGAAAUGCCUGCACCGUAUUGCACUGUGUGGACGGGCCCUCCCUUAUGUUGUCACGUGGCUGGCCAUGUAGGCUGCCUCCAGUCUUUGGCUAUGAUACAUAUGCCACGUGGAUGUCACGUGGGCAAGCCUUCCUAAGUCCGAGUCCUAUUUCAGGGUCAAAUAGUAUGUGCGUUUCAAAAUCAGAUACUAGCUGUCCUCCCUGUAGGCUGCCCCCUUCAGGUACACAUCCAUUGGUGACGUGUGAGAGCAGGUGAGGUUUGUAAGCAGCUGCCCAGGAGAUUCUGGUGCGCAGGAACGUGUGAGAGCUGUGAUGCUUGGGGCAAGGUGCUGCUAUCAGCUUCUGAAAGCCGUGGCCAAGGAAAGGCAGAGGGAGGGCGCUGCUUUGCAGGUGGAUGUUGAAGGAAGAGGGGUCAUGGACCAGCCCAGCCGAGCAGGGAGGGCCGGCUCUGUGAUGUCACGUGUGAGCUGAGAAGAGCGAUUCUGCUUGCUGUCCCAGGACCGGGGCUUCGCUGCGAGGGUGAGGUGGGGGUGCCCAGGGAUUGGUCCGCCUGUCGGGGCAUCCCUCCCUUUCAGCUGAGCAUCCAGGACUGUGGUCCCCUUUCCACGCCUGGGUUGUUCCAGCCACCGUCAUCUCCACUAGAACAAUGGCAAGGGUUCAACUUCCCGAGCAGGUUUUUUUAAUGCCAUGGUUGGUUAUGUCCUGGGGAGAAGUGGCUGCAACUCUGUUGUCCUGCUAAAAAUUAUGUUUCUUAUUUUCAAAUGAAAUGCUGUGCUGUCUGGACUUGGCUUCAAAAUAACCCACAGGGUAGAUGGAGUGAGCGAGGGUAAAGAUAGUACCAGAUUGGCCCUGAACUGACGCUCACUGACGCUGUCCAAUACAUACACAGGGAUUCAUUACAUUUUUCUUUAUAUAUAUAUAUAUAUUUCAAAUUUCCUAUAAGAAAAUUUCCAGUAAAUGUUCCUGGCCAAGAUACAGAGAUGGCUAAAUGCGCUCUGGUUCCUUCCAGCCUAGUCUAUGAAGACAUUUGAGUGACAGCUGCAAAUGUAAAGGGCCCAGGUUAAAACAGAGUUGAAAGCCACUUUUCCGUGCUGUGGGUCCCCCCCAAUUUCCAGAAUCCUCCCCCUCUUUCAUCUCCUAAAGACAAAAGUUCAUCAGAAACUCUCCUGACAGCACCUAGAUCUCUUGAAUGGGCUAGAAAAAUAUUUCAAGGUCUCAGAGCAAUUUAAUGCCCUAUGAAAGUAAAAUAAAUUGUGUACAAAUAAUUCGAUAAGCUCGGGGAAGUAGGGGGGAAAAACAUUAAGCAUGUCACAGCUGGCACCUCCAGGCAGUUUAUCAAAGCAAGUUUCAUAAUUUAACAAAAUCAUCUUGGCAUCGCGCACAAAAGCCCGCCUGUUUGAUCCUUUAAUAACACUGCUUAGCACUUUCUGGGGAGCUGGCUUCCAGCGCCCGGGCUGUUUCCAAGCAUUAGCUAAUCAAUCAUCAAAAGAUACUUUCCACGCAGGCAGGCAGGACUCGGAAGGCUCUCUUGAUCCCCACGGAUGUGGCAAUGGAAGUUAAGAGGCUUUUCCAAGGUCACAGAGGGGGCAACUAAUGAGUCUCGGGUUUCGUCAGUGCUCCCGACAGCGCCCCUGCUGCCCCGGUCCCCUGGCCCGGGCAGCGCGUGGCCCCGCGCUCAGGCCCCCGGGCACUGGCGGGCAGCCUUCUGCAGCUUGGGGCUGGGGUCUCGGUCCGGAGCCUUCACCUGGGAUGCCUCCGUGCUCAUCGCGACGCACUGGUGGCAUCCCCGGGAGCUCUCCUGCCGGCGUCGGGCAGUGGCCUGCGUGUACUUUCUUCUCUGGAGAACAGAAAUGCGUGCUUUUGAUCAAAUAUCAAGGAGCCCUAGCCCUGAUUUUUGUCCAGCAGUUCACAUUUGGGGGACUAUAUAUAGAUUUUUUUUUUUAA
This is a long non-coding RNA of Camelus dromedarius (Arabian camel), 4423 nucleotides long. RefSeq lists it as uncharacterized. NCBI's taxonomy places the organism in Eukaryota, Metazoa, Chordata, Mammalia, Artiodactyla, Camelidae. The transcript has 4 exons. The record is from RefSeq and is a predicted model, not a curated record.